Molecule: ribosomal RNA, 775 nt
Filed under: uncultured Neocallimastigales
Lineage: Eukaryota; Fungi; Neocallimastigomycota; Neocallimastigomycetes; Neocallimastigales
Description: partial large subunit ribosomal RNA
Rfam family: Eukaryotic large subunit ribosomal RNA
Source: RNAcentral
AGAGAGAGACAUGCGCGCAUAUCAAUAAGCGGAGGAAAAGAAACUAACAAGGAUUCCCUUAGUAACGGCGAGUGAAGCGGGAAGAGCUCAAAUUUGAAAUCUUCAAGGUUUUACCUUGACGAAUUGUAGUUUAAAGAAGUGUUUUCUGCUGAAGUUUUGGUAAAAGUUCUUUGGAAUAGGACAUCAUAGAGGGUGAGAAUCCCGUAUUUGACCAUUAUUUUCAGCUUUGUGAUACACUUUCAAAGAGUCGGAUUGUUUGGGAAUGCAGUCCAAAAUGGGUGGUAAAUUUCAUCUAGAGCUAAAUAUUGGCGAGAGACCGAUAGCGAACAAGUACCGUGAGGGAAAGAUGAAAAGAACUUUGAAAAGAGAGUUAAACAGUACGUGAAAUUGUCAAAAGGGAAGCGUUUGACACCAGUGUUGUUUUCUCGAAAAUCAAUUAAAAAUGGCUCGAUUUUGUAUUGCUGAGACCUUAAAAGCUCACUGUACAUUUUUCGUGUCUUUUUUAAUGCACUUUUCGUUUAGCAAGUCAACAUCAAUUUCUUUUGUUGUAAAAGGGUCAUUGGAAGGUGGCUUUCUUUUCGGAGAAAGUGUUUAUAGCCUUUGGCCUCUGCAAUCGGAAGAGGCUGAGGUCUGCAGCGUAGACUCUUCGGGGUUAGAUACAUUUGUGCUAAGUUAUAGCUUUUUAUAGACAACUUGUUGACUAUAAUUAGUCUUGUAGCUUACUCGCUUAUGCUAUUUUACCUACGCUUAGGAUGUUGAGUCGUAGAGCACGCAG